RNAcentral lists this long non-coding RNA (391 nucleotides) under Ananas comosus (pineapple). RNAcentral's name for it is "long non-coding RNA (ACOM_LNC013726)". The record is from RNAcentral. Lineage: Eukaryota; Viridiplantae; Streptophyta; Magnoliopsida; Poales; Bromeliaceae.
GUUCAUUUUUCUUUAUGGCCCUGAUUUUACCCUCGAUUUUUAUCUUACAUGCGGUAUUAAUUAGGUCAUUUUAAUUACCGUCGUCUAAUCAUCAUUAUAGCCGACCUCGGAAUUCGUUUCGACACGACGGCUAUCUUUCCUUCUUCUUCAACUCUUUAUCUUUCGUUUUCAUCGCUUUCUUUUACUUCUUCUUCGUUUCUUACAACACUUCAUCCCUUCCAUCGAACCCCUUUCUCAUCUUUCUCUCUUUUGAGUAAUGGCACCGGUUCCGCCUCUUCCUUCUCAUCCGUCCCUGGAUUAUACUAUGCUUAAACCCUUUAUCGAUUCAGACUCAUCUCGAUUUAUUUUGGGUCCUUCUUUUAUAGACGUGCUAUCCCUUAUUGACUUACUC